This 176-nucleotide long non-coding RNA is filed under the name Mus spicilegus (steppe mouse). Its description in RNAcentral is "lncRNA (ENSMSIG00000026607.1)". Lineage: Eukaryota; Metazoa; Chordata; Mammalia; Rodentia; Muridae. The record is from RNAcentral.
CUUGCUCUUUGUUCCUAUGUACCCCCUCAGAGUUAACUUUAUUCCCUUUUCUAUAAUAUUUCAAGGGAUAUAAGCAACCAGGAAAAAGCUGAAAAAAGAUUCGGAUUGGAUCACAUGCCUGAAUUUGACCAAUCACAGUACAGUGCACAGAAGGAGUUAAAAUGUCUCUUGAAGCU